AUACGGAGGGAGCGAGCGUUAAUCGGAAUUACUGGGCGUAAAGCGCGCGUAGGCGGCUACUUAAGUCAGAUGUGAAAUCCCCGGGCUCAACCUGGGAACUGCAUCUGAUACUGGGUAGCUAGAGUUUAGGAGAGGGAAGUAGAAUUUCAGGUGUAGCGGUGAAAUGCAUAGAGAUCUGAAGGAAUACCAGUGGCGAAGGCGACUUCCUGGCCUAAAACUGACGCUGAGGUGCGAAAGCGUGGGUAGCAAACGGGAUUAGAAACCCCAGUAGUCC
Molecule: ribosomal RNA, 274 nt
Filed under: uncultured bacterium
Lineage: Bacteria
Description: partial 16S ribosomal RNA
Rfam family: Bacterial small subunit ribosomal RNA
Source: RNAcentral